CCAUUUGAAAAUUAGUCGUAUAUGUUCCUAAAUUUUGACGGGAUUGUGGAUCCGACCAGGUAUGACACAUUGUGGUGAGAAGUACCUCUAUCUUCAUUUUUCAUGUAGAUCAUCAAGUGAAGGUAUAGUUACUAUAUCGUACCAUUGUGCUUCAUACUUGUCAGAUCCACAAUCCCAUCAAGACUUUGGAGCACAUAUGACAGGUUCUCAGAAUGG
Molecule: microRNA precursor, 216 nt
Filed under: Populus trichocarpa (black cottonwood)
Lineage: Eukaryota; Viridiplantae; Streptophyta; Magnoliopsida; Malpighiales; Salicaceae
Description: miR6473 stem-loop (ptc-MIR6473)
Source: miRBase by way of RNAcentral